AGUGUGAAUUUUCUGGACAGAGGUGUUUGGUGAUGCUGAUAUCUUUGCAGGUGAACAAAGGUCCACAUUUUUAGGGUCUUUGCUGCCUGUCUUCCUGUAUUGUUGUGA
Thalassophryne amazonica is the source of this 108-nucleotide long non-coding RNA. RefSeq lists it as uncharacterized. The record is from RefSeq and is a predicted model, not a curated record. NCBI's taxonomy places the organism in Eukaryota, Metazoa, Chordata, Actinopteri, Batrachoidiformes, Batrachoididae. The transcript is spliced from 3 exons.